RNAcentral lists this ribosomal RNA (468 nucleotides) under uncultured bacterium. RNAcentral describes it as "partial 16S ribosomal RNA". It matches the Rfam family "Bacterial small subunit ribosomal RNA", at positions 28 to 507 of the family's 1533-position model. The record is from RNAcentral.
GACGAACGCUGGCGGCGUGCCUAACACAUGCAAGUCGAACGGAAAGGCCCUGCUUUUGUGCGGUGCUCGAGUGGCGAACGGGUGAGUAACACGUCAGUAACCUGCCCUCGUCUUUGGGAUAACUUCAGGAAACUUAGGCUAAUACCGGAUAGGAGCUCCCGCUGCAUGGUGGGCGUUGGUAAGUUUCGGCGGUUGGGGAUGGACUCGCGGCUCAUCAGCUUGUUGAUGGGGUAGUUGCUUACCAAGGUUUUCAAGCCUAGCAGGCCUGAGUGGAGAACCCGCUACAUUGGGACUGAAAUGCGGCACGGACUCCAACGGGAGGCAGCACUGCAGAAGAGUACACAAGAGGCGGGAGCCUAAUGCGACAACGCCGCGUGGGGGAAGUAGGGCAUGGGGUAGUGAGCCGCUUCCGCCUGUGCUGAGGAGUUAAUGACGGUACUGGAUGAAGAAGCCCCGGCUAACUACGUG